This is a long non-coding RNA of Cygnus olor (mute swan), 848 nucleotides long. RefSeq lists it as uncharacterized. The record is from RefSeq and is a predicted model, not a curated record. The transcript is spliced from 2 exons. NCBI's taxonomy places the organism in Eukaryota, Metazoa, Chordata, Aves, Anseriformes, Anatidae.
AUGCCAGUCCCUUGGGUCCUAAAGAGGUGCUGGUCAGAGAAUUCUUUUUUCUUUUGUCUGAAGGGUUUGGCAUAGCCUGGUAGUUGCAUGGGUCUUAAUAUAUAGUCAAGCAAGGAUCCAUUUUCUUGUGGGUAGGUGUGCAUGUACUAGCUGUUCCUUUUCUCAGUCCUCUAUGAGGGACACUCAAUGCAGAGGUUACAGUAGGAGAAAAUACGUAGAUAUGAUAUAAAGACUUCCUUCUAUUUGCCUCCCAUAGGAAAUUGUAUUUAUCUGUAUGAAAGAUUAGGUUGUCUUUUUGUUAUUUGUGUGUCUCAGCCUAAGUUAAAGCAUCUGUAUUUGUGUGGAAUAACAUUUUAUUUAGGAUUUUAUACAGCAAAACCUGUCGGCGCACGUCGGAGUGUUUGCUAAAUGCAACUCUCUGUGAGAACCCUGUUUGUUUCACUAGGUAUUACCCCAGUGUCAAUAAGUGUUUGGAGAUACUGCCCUUCCUUGCCAUGCAGUCUGUUUGGAUACCGUGGCAGAAAUAUCUGAACGUGUGUGACACCCACUCUCUGAAAAUGCUGUCCCCUUGAAAUGGUUCAGACUGGGCAUUCGGAAAGGAGGCACCCUGCGUCGUCCAUUUCUGUUGAAGUUCGGACUCUGUCUACAAUAUAAAGCACUCGGGUUUCAUUUCUAUGGGAUUGGCAAGAGCCUCCUGAGUCACUGAAUCUUGUCUUCCCGUUUCAGACAGUCAUAGCCUACAGGGAAAUGGCUUGUAACACGAGAUGAGUUUUCUUGUCGGGAGCAGUUUGUAAUCUAACAGCCACUCUUGGCUCAUCUUACUUUAAAAAAAUAAAAUGUAAGCAUUG